CCUACGGGUGGCAGCAGUGAGGAAUAUUGGUCAAUGGGCGCGAGCCUGAACCAGCCAAGUCGCGUGAGGGAAGACGGUCCUAUGGAUUGUAAACCUCUUUUGUCGGGGAGCAAAAGACGCCACGCGUGGCGUUCCGAGCGUACCCGUAGAAAAAGCAUCGGCUAACUCCGUGCCAGCAGCCGCGGUAAUACGGAGGAUGCGAGCGUUAUCCGGAUUUAGUGGGUUUAAAGGGUGCGCAGGCGGAAGAUCAAGUCAGCGGUAAAAUUGAGAGGCUCAACCUCUUCGAGCCGUUGAAACUGGUUUUCUUGAGUGAGUGAGAAGUAUGCGGAAUGCGUGGUGUAGCGGUGAAAUGCAUAGAUAUCACGCAGAACUCCGAUUGCGAAGGCAGAAUACCGGCGCUCAACUGACGCUCAUGCACGAAAGUGUGGGUAUCGAACAGGAUUAGAUACCCGAGUAGUC
Molecule: ribosomal RNA, 459 nt
Filed under: uncultured bacterium
Lineage: Bacteria
Description: partial 16S ribosomal RNA
Rfam family: Bacterial small subunit ribosomal RNA
Source: RNAcentral